RNAcentral lists this non-coding RNA (194 nucleotides) under Oxobacter pfennigii. Lineage: Bacteria; Bacillati; Bacillota; Clostridia; Eubacteriales; Clostridiaceae. The record is from RNAcentral.
AAAUGAAUAUUUCCAAUAAGUGCUUCAUUAAAAUGAGGAUAAUAGGGAAUCAGGUGAAAUUCCUGUACGGUCCCGCCACUGUAAGCGAGGAGCGGCUUAUCAAUAAACCACUGUUUUUUAUAAUAGGAAAAUGGGAAGGAGAUAAGCUGCAAUGAUACGCAAGUCAGGAAACCUGCUUGUUGGUGAAUUUGUAC